Echinops telfairi (small Madagascar hedgehog) is the source of this 286-nucleotide long non-coding RNA. RefSeq lists it as uncharacterized. The record is from RefSeq and is a predicted model, not a curated record. NCBI's taxonomy places the organism in Eukaryota, Metazoa, Chordata, Mammalia, Afrosoricida, Tenrecidae. The transcript is spliced from 2 exons.
ACAUCGGUGGCAAGAUAUUAACUAUCAAUUCCUACGCAAGAGGAAGAGACAUCUAGUGCCCCUGCGUCCCUGAGAGCUGGGAUUGGGGCAGGGACGUUCCGGGCUCAUCCCACGAUGAUCCUGAGGCACACUUGUCCCUGGCCAGUGGUGAGCAGCAGGACAGCCCAGGAGCGCUGUGUGAUCCAGUGACCCCUCUCUGGGGAUGAAGAUCCACCUUUGUCCUUUCUUCAGGGGCGGCUGUGUUUCUGCUCCACCCCCACCCCCCAAAUAAACAGCUUGGCCUCUC